GUGGGGAAUUUUGGACAAUGGGCGCAAGCCUGAUCCAGCAAUGCCGCGUGCAGGAAGAAGGCCUUCGGGUUGUAAACUGCUUUUGUACGGAACGAAACGGUCCUGGUUAAUACCUGGGGCUAAUGACGGUACCGUAAGAAUAAGCACCGGCUAACUACGUGCCAGCAGCCGCGGUAAUACGUAGGGUGCGAGCGUUAAUCGGAAUUACUGGGCGUAAAGCGUGCGCAGGCGGUGCUGUAAGACAGGCGUGAAAUCCCCGGGCUCAACCUGGGAAUUGCGAUUGUGACUGCAGUGCUGGAGUACGGCAGAGGGGGAUGGAAUUCCGCGUGUAGCAGUGAAAUGCGUAGAUAUGCGGAGGAACACCGAUGGAGAAGGCAGUCCCCUGGGCCUGUACUGACGCUCAUGCACGAAAGCGUGGGGAGCAAACAGGAUUAGAUACCCUGGUAGUCC
This 450-nucleotide ribosomal RNA is filed under the name uncultured bacterium. RNAcentral's name for it is "partial 16S ribosomal RNA". It matches the Rfam family "Bacterial small subunit ribosomal RNA", at positions 354 to 796 of the family's 1533-position model. The record is from RNAcentral.